GCACUGGUAGUUCAAUGGUAGAGUUCUUGCCUUCCAUGCAGGAGACCUGGGUUCGGUUUUCAGCCAGUGCA
RNAcentral lists this transfer RNA (71 nucleotides) under Procavia capensis (Cape rock hyrax). RNAcentral describes it as "tRNA-Gly (TCC) (tRNA-Gly-TCC-18-1)". It matches the Rfam family "tRNA". From Rfam's summary of the family: Transfer RNA (tRNA) molecules are approximately 80 nucleotides in length. Their secondary structure includes four short double-helical elements and three loops (D, anti-codon, and T loops). Further hydrogen bonds mediate the characteristic L-shaped molecular structure. tRNAs have two regions of fundamental functional importance: the anti-codon, which is responsible for specific mRNA codon recognition, and the 3' end, to which the tRNAs corresponding amino acid is attached (by aminoacyl-tRNA synthetases). tRNAs cope with the degeneracy of the genetic code in two manners: having more than one tRNA (with a specific anti-codon) for a particular amino acid; and 'wobble' base-pairing, i.e. permitting non-standard base-pairing at the 3rd anti-codon position. Lineage: Eukaryota; Metazoa; Chordata; Mammalia; Hyracoidea; Procaviidae. The record is from RNAcentral.